Molecule: ribosomal RNA, 246 nt
Filed under: uncultured Bacillota bacterium
Lineage: Bacteria; Bacillati; Bacillota
Description: uncultured Firmicutes bacterium partial 16S ribosomal RNA
Rfam family: Bacterial small subunit ribosomal RNA
Source: RNAcentral
CACGCGGUAAACGAUGAGUGCUAGGUGUAGCGGGUAUCGACCCCUGCUGUGCCGGAGUUAACACAAUAAGCACUCCGCCUGGGGAGUACGGCCGCAAGGUUGAAACUCAAAGGAAUUGACGGGGGCCCGCACAAGCAGCGGAGCAUGUGGUUUAAUUCGAAGCAACGCGAAGAACCUUACCAGGUCUUGACAUCGAGGCAAAGCCGCGGAAAUGCGGUGUUCAGCAAUGAAGCCGAAGACAGGUGG